This 55-nucleotide ribosomal RNA is filed under the name Vibrio parahaemolyticus EN9701072. RNAcentral describes it as "partial 16S ribosomal RNA". Lineage: Bacteria; Pseudomonadati; Pseudomonadota; Gammaproteobacteria; Vibrionales; Vibrionaceae. The record is from RNAcentral. RNAcentral also lists the same sequence under 1 other name.
UUAAAUUGAAGAGUUUGAUCAUGGCUCAGAUUGAACGCUGGCGGCAGGCCUAACA